This 288-nucleotide ribosomal RNA is filed under the name uncultured bacterium. Its description in RNAcentral is "partial 16S ribosomal RNA". It matches the Rfam family "Bacterial small subunit ribosomal RNA", at positions 773 to 1060 of the family's 1533-position model. The record is from RNAcentral.
GUGUAUUAGAUACCCUGGUAGUCCACGCCGUAAACGAUGUCGACUAGCCGUUGGGAUCCUUGAGAUCUUAGUGGCGCAGCUAACGCGAUAAGUCGACCGCCUGGGGAGUACGGCCGCAAGGUUAAAACUCAAAUGAAUUGACGGGGGCCCGCACAAGCGGUGGAGCAUGUGGUUUAAUUCGAAGCAACGCGAAGAACCUUACCUGGCCUUGACAUGUCCGGAAUCCUGCAGAGAUGCGGGAGUGCCUUCGGGAAUCGGAACACAGGUGCUGCACGGCUGUCGUCAACU